RNAcentral lists this ribosomal RNA (380 nucleotides) under uncultured bacterium. RNAcentral's name for it is "partial 16S ribosomal RNA". It matches the Rfam family "Bacterial small subunit ribosomal RNA", at positions 338 to 732 of the family's 1533-position model. The record is from RNAcentral.
CCUACGGGAGGCUGCAGUGGGGAAUAUUGGGCAAUGGGCGCAAGCCUGACCCAGCAACGCCGCGUGAAGGAAGAAGGCUUUCGGGUUGUAAACUUCUUUUGUCAGGGACGAACCAAGUGACGGUACCUGACGAAUAAGCCACGGCUAACUACGUGCCAGCCGCCGCGGGACUACGUAGGUGGCACGCGUUAACCGGAUUUACUGGGUGUAAAGGGCGUGUAGGCGGGGCUGCAAGUCAGAGGUGAAAACCACGGGCUCAAACUGUGGCCUGCAUUUGAUACGGUAGUUCUGGAGUACUGGAGAGGCAGACGGAAUUCCAGGUGAAGCGGUGAAAUGCGUAGAUAUAAGGAGGAACACCAGUGGCGAAGGCGGCUUGCUGG